RNAcentral lists this non-coding RNA (80 nucleotides) under unclassified sequences. The record is from RNAcentral.
GCUGCUCAAAACUUCACAUACCGCUACGAGGUGAGCAGCAGGCAAGGUGCUUUAUCGGAUAUGGUACUGAAUAAGGUUAA